GCCCGUCGCUCCUACCGAUUGGAUGACUCGGUGAAAUCACCGGAUGCUUACGAGCAGAAAGUGAUUAAAUCACGUUAUCUAGAGGAAGGAGAAGUCGUAACAAGGUAACGGUAGGUGAACCUGCCGUUGGAUCAGUUCUAGUUUUAAUAACUAACACCAACUUCUUUUAUAAACAAAAACCAAUACAAAAUUAAAAACUAACUUCAUCAAAAACCAAGUCUCUAAGCAAUGGAUGUCUUGCUCCUCACACGAUGAAGAACGUGGCAUAAUGUGUUAAGU
Molecule: ribosomal RNA, 279 nt
Filed under: Trichomonas vaginalis G3
Lineage: Eukaryota; Parabasalia; Trichomonadida; Trichomonadidae
Description: 5.8S ribosomal RNA
Rfam family: Eukaryotic small subunit ribosomal RNA (bases 1-137)
Source: RNAcentral